UUUCUUCCGAUCAAGCAAAUCAAGUGGCUCAUCAUCUGAUUGGUCAGACAAGUGCUCAGGCAAAUUCUUCUUCAGUCUGAUAUUGGACCUAGAUACAGAUCUCUGUCAGUCAAAAUUGAUUUUCGGAACCAAACCUUGCAUUGCAGACAGUCAUUAGAAGAAAGGACAAGUUAAAAGUUACAGUUACAGCUUACCUAAAUGAAGAUGCUGCUGAUUUUGGAUGUAAGAAAGCCUUGCUCCCUCUAGAAAUCAUGUAUUCUGCAUUGCUAUUGCCACUAUCCCCAUCAAAAUCCGAAAAAAUCUUUGUAUGAUUCCACAAGCUUUGUCUGAAAAAUAAUUAUAUUAUUGGUUUUGAUGCAGCUUAAAACAUGGCUCGCAAUUUCAACAAAGCACAAAAUUCACUAAAAUAAAAUGUUAGAAUGAAGUUAAAAAGCAGAAGACUAAUCAUAAAACUCAACUAAAUAAAUAAAACCAAAUUAUAGGCAAUAUUCAUUGAACCAGAAAUUUUUUUGGGAGAUACAACAAGCAUGUCAUUUUAAAAUGGCUGUGUAUGUCUUAUCAAGAAGAUUGCUGGUGGACCAAUCCUAAAAACCAUUCUUCUGUCAUUUUAAUUUACAGGACGUAAAAUUUUAUGUAAAAUGAAUAUACACAUCACACAAUAGACCAUAGUUGUGAAUUCAACACUGUAGCACUGCGAUAGCAUAGUAGAUCAUAGUUGGAACAAGAGUUUUUUUUAGGUCCGUCUUGAAAAGGUUGUAGCGGCUAGGAAAUCCAGUUUUUUUACGCUUGGCACCCAUGUUCACACACGAUCACGGCAUGAUUGACUACAAUGUGCAAUAGCAGUAGCUUCUCAGACCUAAGCUGCUCCAACCAUUUUGAGUUUACAUUGUGUGUUCCGGUUGCCGCCACUGUUGUGCCAAAACGGUGCAACUGAACAAGGGUUUAAACUUGUUUACCCCAUAAUAGUAUCAAUGAAGGUCGGUUUUGGGGGACACUUACAAUUACACCUGUUUCAUUCUGAAAAAAGAAAGGGGUUCAAAAUUAAAACCCCCUACUCCAAAAUGGUUACACAUGCCCAGCCCAUGUCUCAAGCACAACCCACUAUGUUCCAGUGCCAUCUCCAGCCAUUGCUUAAGUUUUGAUGCCAUCCUCAUGUUUCCAGCAUUGUUCUGUUUUCUGGCACAAUCUCUAGAACUCUUUUUGCCGUUUCUGUUCUCAUCUCACUGUUCUCAGCUCUCUAAGACUCUUCUGCCCUUUCAUUUUGUUGCAGCAGCUGUCUUUAAUUUUGGUUUUUCAUUUUAUUUUUGAACAUUUAUAUAUGAAACAUAACUUAUUUAAUUUGCCUCUAAAUUUCCAUAUAGUGACCAUCCCACUAUCCUACUCAGUGGUUUUGGGCACCCCUGAUCAGCGCCACUAUUUGGGAUUUCAGUAUAUAUAUGCAUGUAAAAUGCUAGAAGUGCAAGGGGAAAGAAUGUUAGAUAUAUUGUGUCACACACUGAGGUGUGUGGGACUUAAACCACUGUCUUUGUUUCUUAUUAAUGCAAAUAAAUACAUAAUUGUUACCUGGA
Long non-coding RNA from Glycine soja, 1568 nucleotides. RefSeq lists it as uncharacterized. The transcript is spliced from 2 exons. NCBI's taxonomy places the organism in Eukaryota, Viridiplantae, Streptophyta, Magnoliopsida, Fabales, Fabaceae. The record is from RefSeq and is a predicted model, not a curated record.